This 460-nucleotide ribosomal RNA is filed under the name uncultured bacterium. RNAcentral's name for it is "partial 16S ribosomal RNA". It matches the Rfam family "Bacterial small subunit ribosomal RNA", at positions 338 to 795 of the family's 1533-position model. The record is from RNAcentral.
CCUACGGGGAGCAGCAGUGAGGAAUAUUGGUCAAUGGACGCAAGUCUGAACCAGCCAUGCCGCGUGCAGGAAGACGGCUCUAUGAGUUGUAAACUGCUUUUGUACGAGGGUAAACGCAGAUACGCGUAUCUCUCUGCAAGUAUCGUACGAAUACGGAUCGGCUAACUCCGUGCCAGCAGCCGCGGUAAUCCGGAGGUUUCAGGCGUUAUCCGGAUUUAUUGGGUUUAGAGGGUGCGUAGGCGGUCUGAUAAGUUUGAGGUGAAAUCCCGAGGCGCAACUUCGGAAUUGCCUCGGAUACCGUUAGGCUGGAGAGUAGUGGCGGUAGGCGGAAUGUAUGGUGUAGCGGUGAAAUGCUUAGAGAUCAUACAGAACACCGAUUGCGAAGGCAGCUUACCAAGCUACUUCUGACGUUGAGGCACGAAAGCGUGGGGAGCAAACAGGAUUAGAUACCCGUGUAGUC